AUGAAGUCAACAGGAAUCCGGCACUUUCCUGCUGGGCCAAGGCCUGCUGGAAUUUCCCCGUGCCAACCUUCUGCAGGAUGGGAUCCCCAGAGCAUGACCACUGUGUAGCCAGUUCUUGCCUAUGAAGCCAUUAGGCUGAAGAAUUGGAGAGAAAUAAAACCAGUUUUUCUAUGGUCAGGAUGACCUUGUUACUGUUGUCAACUGCAGCUGAAAUUAAAAUCUCCAGCACAUAUGUUACAAUA
Long non-coding RNA from Vidua chalybeata, 242 nucleotides. RefSeq lists it as uncharacterized. The transcript is spliced from 2 exons. The record is from RefSeq and is a predicted model, not a curated record. Lineage: Eukaryota; Metazoa; Chordata; Aves; Passeriformes; Viduidae.